This 464-nucleotide ribosomal RNA is filed under the name Vreelandella stevensii. Its description in RNAcentral is "partial 16S ribosomal RNA". It matches the Rfam family "Bacterial small subunit ribosomal RNA", at positions 338 to 795 of the family's 1533-position model. Lineage: Bacteria; Pseudomonadati; Pseudomonadota; Gammaproteobacteria; Oceanospirillales; Halomonadaceae. The record is from RNAcentral.
CCUACGUGAUCUGCAGUGGGGAAUAUUGGACAAUGGGCGAAAGCCUGAUCCAGCCAUGCCGCGUGUGUGAAGAAGGCCUUCGGGUUGUAAAGCACUUUCAGUGGGGAAGAAAGCCUUGGGGCUAAUACCCUCGAGGAAGGACAUCACCCACAGAAGAAGCACCGGCUAACUCCGUGCCAGCAGCCGCGGUAAUACGGAGGGUGCGAGCGUUAAUCGGAAUUACUGGGCGUAAAGCGCGCGUAGGCGGUCUGAUAAGCCGGUUGUGAAAGCCCCGGGCUCAACCUGGGAACGGCAUCCGGAACUGUCAGGCUAGAGUGCAGGAGAGGAAGGUAGAAUUCCCGGUGUAGCGGUGAAAUGCGUAGAGCUCGGGAGGAAUACCAGUGGCGAAGGCGGCCUUCUGGACUGACACUGACGCUGAGGUGCGAAAGCGUGGGUAGCAAACAGGAUUAGAUACCCGUGUAGUC